GCACCUCAACCUCAAUACUGUUCUCGGCCAGUGGUUUUCCUGAGUCAGGUGUCCUUUUCAUCUCUGAUUGCUAUUUAUCAUCACAAGUAUCUCACUAUGAGAAGCUCUGUGGAACACUAGAAGUAGCUUAGCCAGAUCUGAAAAUGAUCUCCAUCUCUUCAACUGGGAAUCUCAUUUUUUACAUAAUGUGAAAGAAGAAAUUGAAGCUCAAAAAAUGGCAGUAUAUAUAUUGGUUACUACUUAGGCAAAAAUGGCAGUAGCUGAUAAUGUAAAUAUAGCCGUUCUAGGGGGGCAUUGCAAUUUUGGAUACAUAUAAGAGGGGACGGAGGUGCAGACGCUUUUGCUUUCUCUUCUUUCUUGGUUUUGUGUUUAGCUUUAGU
Molecule: unclassified non-coding RNA, 380 nt
Filed under: Hevea brasiliensis (rubber tree)
Lineage: Eukaryota; Viridiplantae; Streptophyta; Magnoliopsida; Malpighiales; Euphorbiaceae
Source: RNAcentral